CUUAUCUCAGGAUUUCUCUUAAAAAGAAUGAUUUAUACCUUAGUGGUGAGCAAGAUUCUGGAGUCCUCGGUGGAGCUGGCCUCUGACAGUGGUAACCUCUGACUUUCUUCUUUGCUCCUAGCUAUCUUCAGGCAUCUGAAUUAUGCUAGUCUCGCCAGAGACCCUUUUUGAUGAGAAUAUUCUUUUUUUCCUUUUUUUUUUGCUCUACUGUGUUACUGACUGCAGAUUCUUUAAUAGACUUCUGAGCCCUCUCUGGGAGUUUUGGUUUGUGAAUGGCUGUCUAUAUACUUUUAUUGGGAGAUGAAGGGUGGUAUCUCUUAAUCUGCUAUCUUGGUAGGCUUUUUAUUCUUUAGACCUUUUUUAUUGUUUCUCCUUAAAUGAAAUAUUGUUUUGUUGCAUGGUUUUGUCUGUAGAUCCCCUACUGCCUCAUAGAAAACCAGAGAGGAGGUAACAUGAGGAGAACAAAUGGACAUUUUCAUCUCAACGUGGCAGAGUAAAGUGAGAACAUGUUGUGAAACAACUUUCAUCUCAUGACCUUCACUAAAAUCCUGGGAAGUGGAGACGUACUCUUGCCCUUUCCCUGUACAUCUAUAAUUUCCCAACUGUACCCAACUGUGGCUGUCAGUGUAGGUAGAUUUAUAUGUUAGUUCUGUGAUGACCCUAUUAGCUAAUUCCCUUGAUUUAGGGAUGUUCUCCAUUUGGAAACAGCCAUUUUCCUAGGGGAAGAACUAGAGGUGUUUAUUUUUUUUCUCA
RNAcentral lists this long non-coding RNA (753 nucleotides) under Marmota monax (woodchuck). The record is from RNAcentral. Lineage: Eukaryota; Metazoa; Chordata; Mammalia; Rodentia; Sciuridae.